GCUGGUUUCUCUUCAGUGUUUCCCAUACAAACAGGUUCUCAUUGCUCAUGCGCAAGAGAGAGAAAAAUCAUCUGAUAUAUUUUAUUAAUAUUUAAAGGAAACAAAAGACAGAAGGAAACACAGAGACUGAACACUAUGCUACGCCCGGAGUUGCGCUUCCUCGCAGAGUCGCGACGCCUCAGUCUCCCUCUGCCAGAUAACUACUGUUCUCGCCAGUUUUACCAAUAAAAUAAUUGAGGUUU
Molecule: long non-coding RNA, 242 nt
Organism: Equus caballus (horse)
Lineage: Eukaryota; Metazoa; Chordata; Mammalia; Perissodactyla; Equidae
Source: RefSeq, a predicted model, not a curated record